Molecule: long non-coding RNA, 260 nt
Organism: Bombus terrestris (buff-tailed bumblebee)
Lineage: Eukaryota; Metazoa; Arthropoda; Insecta; Hymenoptera; Apidae
Exons: 2
Source: RefSeq, a predicted model, not a curated record
CCGAGCUGCCGUUGUGGCAAAUGAUUGAAAUAAUAUUAACAAAUGCACAACUAUUGUAUGUACCUAACAUAUCCUCCAAUAUAUACAUACAUGAUAUUAUUUUAUAUAAUUAUCACCAGUAAAAAGGAUAUGGAUAUUGAAUACAAUUGUGGACUCUUAUGCCAUAGUGAAAAGUUGUAUCCAAGCACCUUUGAAGAUCCUGGAAAUAUAUACAAAGAUUAUUGAGUUUAUACAAAUAAAGCAACGAGUAUCAUUUUACA